Molecule: long non-coding RNA, 851 nt
Filed under: Citrus sinensis (sweet orange)
Lineage: Eukaryota; Viridiplantae; Streptophyta; Magnoliopsida; Sapindales; Rutaceae
Description: long non-coding RNA (CSIN_LNC005396)
Source: RNAcentral
GCUUAAAUAAAAAUUUAAAUUAAUAAUUAAUCAAAUACAGCAAAAGGAAAAUGAGUAUAACCUCAUUUCUUUUUUUUUUCUUUUUUUUGUGAAACUAACCAAAAUUUCAGAAAGUAAACCAUAAACAAUUUCUGAAAACUUCAAAUCACCAAUCUUUUUACAUUUUUCUUCAAAUUCUUAACACUCAUCUCACAUUCUCACAACAAUUGCUUCAAAAGAGAACACAAAAAUUCAAACCAAUGAAAACAAUUAGCCCAUCUCCUAAAUUCAACAUUUCAACACCUCAAUCUCCACUAACCUCGCAAUCACUCUCUGUCUCUCUCAUCAACUCCAUUACGCCUCCAGAUUUCAUGAAAAUGAUUUUAAUAGAUUCCUUAUUUUUUUGGGGUUUCUACAGCCAUCAACCCAAACACUUAUAACUCAAAUGCCUAAAUGGAAAAAUGCAAUCUGCGAAUGAAACCGUUCGAACCUCGCCGCAGCACCACCACCACUCCACGCUUUUGUUCGAACUUCAAAUGAGGCCUUCGCUCAAGCAAUCAGAGAUCCAAACGCCCCGGCUGCACCACUCACCGGUGGACUUGGCCCCUGCACUGACAAGUUGUGAUUUUCAUUUUUGUCCAUCUGUGGGUAAACUAUGGUCAACCGGCAUAAGGAAAAAUAAUAAGAUAAUUGUUAAAGAUAGGACUGUUACAACGAUAGAAAGAUUUUAACUUAUUUUACAGUAUCGGGGUAUUAUAUAGUGAAACCAAAAAAUAAGGGAUUAUACUCAUUUUUCUCCAAAAAAUAGGAUGCAGAUAUUUUCAGUCGAAACUUCUGUAAACUCACCCUAAGAAAUUAUUAUAAUAAGUUCA